AAACAACUAGGCCCAACAAGCUCAUUGGACCGUGAGCAUUAGGGCUUGUUUUCCCCAACAAAUGCUGCCACAAUGCGCCUAUUAAAGGAUUUGUCAUAUGAUGAGAGAAAAAAACUGCAACAAAAUGAUCGAAUUUAUUCGUGAUUACUAUAGUAUUUAAGUCUGAUGAUUUAUCUCUUCUCGUCCCCUAUUUUCCCCUUAUUUCAAUUUUGUUUUACAUUUUUUUUUCAAAUUUGGUUUUGGUUUAGUGUUUUUUUUUUCCUAAUGUCAAGAGAUAUGAUGAGUGAACAAUUUGGUCCGUGUUUCAGAUUUAAUCGUGACCGAUAAACUCUAUUCUAAUUACUCUCUGAUCUCAACUUCUUUAAUUCUAUGUCAAAUU
Molecule: long non-coding RNA, 379 nt
Organism: Lycium barbarum (goji berry)
Lineage: Eukaryota; Viridiplantae; Streptophyta; Magnoliopsida; Solanales; Solanaceae
Exons: 2
Source: RefSeq, a predicted model, not a curated record